UACGGAAGGUGCGAGCGUUAAUCGGAAUUACUGGGCGUAAAGAGCACGUAGGCGGUGAGCUAAGUCCAAUGUGAAAGCCCCGGGCUUAACCUGGGAAUGGCAUGGGAUACUGGCUGACUCGAGUCUGGUAGAGGGAAGUGGAAUUCCGGGUGUAGCGGUGAAAUGCGUAGAGAUCCGGAGGAACAUCGGUGGCGAAGGCGGCUUCCUGGACCAAGACUGACGCUGAGGUGCGAAAGAGUGGGUAGCAAACAGG
Molecule: ribosomal RNA, 253 nt
Filed under: uncultured bacterium
Lineage: Bacteria
Description: partial 16S ribosomal RNA
Rfam family: Bacterial small subunit ribosomal RNA
Source: RNAcentral